RNAcentral lists this small nuclear RNA (101 nucleotides) under Moschus moschiferus (Siberian musk deer). RNAcentral describes it as "U2 spliceosomal RNA (ENSMMSG00000021821.1)". It matches the Rfam family "U2 spliceosomal RNA". Rfam says of the family: U2 is a small nuclear RNA (snRNA) component of the spliceosome (involved in pre-mRNA splicing). Complementary binding between U2 snRNA (in an area lying towards the 5' end but 3' to hairpin I) and the branchpoint sequence (BPS) of the intron results the bulging out of an unpaired adenosine, on the BPS, which initiates a nucleophilic attack at the intronic 5' splice site, thus starting the first of two transesterification reactions that mediate splicing. The record is from Rfam by way of RNAcentral. Lineage: Eukaryota; Metazoa; Chordata; Mammalia; Artiodactyla; Moschidae.
AUCGCUUCUCAGCCUUUUGGCUAAGAUCAAGUGUAGUAUCUAUUUUGCACAUGGCAGUGUAUAUACAUCAAUCCUACUCUCCCAAUUUUAUCUCACCCUGU